CAGGCCGUUCCGGCCGGGGACGGGUGAAGUGGUCAUUACACCGUCGGAGGCCCGGGGACUCGCCUCACUCCUCGGAAGAUCCGGCUUCCCCAUCUGAGGUUCCAGGCCUGAAAUCAGUCCCAGGCGGAAACGACCAAGGGAAGAAACAUCCAGGGCAGCCGGGUGGUUAUCAUCGGGGAGCGUGCCCGCGGGAGGGAGGUGAGAAAGCAGAGGAAGACUGGCUGACGGUCCACAGCAGCGCCAGUCCAGGCGGCCAGAGCUGGAAAGGUCCGGAAGCUCGGAAGGA
Molecule: long non-coding RNA, 286 nt
Organism: Leopardus geoffroyi (Geoffroy's cat)
Lineage: Eukaryota; Metazoa; Chordata; Mammalia; Carnivora; Felidae
Exons: 2
Source: RefSeq, a predicted model, not a curated record